ACCUAGUGAUGUGGUCAUUUAUAGAGUAGAUCCCUAAAAUGUUCCCAAGUCUCGAAAAAGAAUUCUCCAUCCAUCUGUGAAAAACUCAUGAUCACCCUCCAGAGCU
This is a small nucleolar RNA of Malania oleifera, 106 nucleotides long. The record is from RefSeq and is a predicted model, not a curated record. Lineage: Eukaryota; Viridiplantae; Streptophyta; Magnoliopsida; Santalales; Ximeniaceae.